UUUCCGUAGGUGAACCUGCGGAAGGAUCAUUAUUGUAGAACCGAGGUACGAGGACUGUCGCUGUCCCGACUGGUCGCGCACGCCCGAGUGCCCUCACACACAUCCAUCUCACCCCUAUGUGCACCACCGCGCGCGUCCCCCUUGGGCUUGUCCGGCGGGGGGCUUACGUUUUCACUCAAUCUUUGGUUGCAGUGUAGAAUGUAUUUUUUGUUUUUGCGAUCACACCGUCUCUACAACUUUCAACAACGGAACACUUCGCUCCCGCAUCGAUGAAGACCG
RNAcentral lists this unclassified non-coding RNA (279 nucleotides) under plant metagenome. RNAcentral's name for it is "partial contains small subunit ribosomal RNA, internal transcribed spacer 1, and 5.8S ribosomal RNA". The record is from RNAcentral.